GACGAACGCUGGCGGCGUGCCUAAUACAUGCAAGUAGAACGCUGAAGGAGGAGCUUGCUUCUCUGGAUGAGUUGCGAACGGGUGAGUAACGCGUGGGUAACCUGCCUGGUAGCGGGGGAUAACUAUUGGAAACGAUAGCUAAUACCGCAUAAUAGUAGAUGUUGCAUGACAUUUGCUUAAAAGGUGCAAUUGCAUCACUACCAGAUGGACCUGCGUUGUAUUAGCUAGUUGGUGGGGUAACGGCUCACCAAGGCGACGAUACAUAGCCGACCUGAGAGGGUGAUCGGCCACACUGGGACUGAGACACGGCCCAGACUCCUACGGGAGGCAGCAGUAGGGAAUCUUCGGCAAUGGACGGAAGUCUGACCGAGCAACGCCGCGUGAGUGAAGAAGGUUUUCGGAUCGUAAAGCUCUGUUGUAAGAGAAGAACGAGUGUGAGAGUGGAAAGUUCACACUGUGACGGUAUCUUACCAGAAAGGGACGGCUAACUACGUG
Molecule: ribosomal RNA, 495 nt
Filed under: uncultured bacterium
Lineage: Bacteria
Description: partial 16S ribosomal RNA
Rfam family: Bacterial small subunit ribosomal RNA
Source: RNAcentral